Molecule: long non-coding RNA, 802 nt
Organism: Alligator sinensis (Chinese alligator)
Lineage: Eukaryota; Metazoa; Chordata; Crocodylia; Alligatoridae
Exons: 3
Source: RefSeq, a predicted model, not a curated record
GGUUUCUCCACAGCUCAGCUUUAGCCCUGCUCAUCUUGCCUUCGGCCCCCAGCGCCCACUCACCAACAACGGCAGAGCCUACUGGCCGAGCAGUGCAGCCAAUCCGAGGCGAGGAAACGCAGAAAGACUUCCGGGAAUGAAGAAAAAUGGAUUUUUCCAGUUAUGACUGCAUAGCCCAGGGGAAGAACCCAGUCUUCAGGUCAUGCUGCACUUGACACUGCCAGUUUUUUCAGAUGGUCCAUGAAUACCUGGAGACUAACAUCAUCCGUUAGGAUUGGAGACCCCGAUUCCUGCAAUAAUAGAAAUAAAUGUGUGAUGAGAAAAAAAACGAAUAGGGGUAGAACAAGGGUCAUUCUGAAAGAAAAUUAGGUUUCUGUGCCCAAUGCUAAUCAACCAUAUGCAUAUUCUAGCCAGAGAGAGAGAGAGAGAGAGAGAGAGAGAGAGAGAGAGAGCAUGUGUAGCCACACAAAUUCCAGCCAGAGAGAGAGAGUGUGUGCGUGUGUGUGUGUGAAGCCACACAACAACAAUAGUAACAACAAAACUCCAUUUAUUCUGGACUCGCAAGUAAAUCUAUAGUAUUGAAAGAGAUUUUAUUAUUUAUGAAACAUAAUUUGUAUCCCUGCCCCAAAGAUGUAACAAAAAAAUAAAAAAGGAAGGACAGAAUAAGACCCCCAAAAAUCAAGCAACCAUUCAUAGAUUAUAAGGCUGAAAGGGACCUCGGCAGAUCAUCAGGUCCAGCCCCUGCACCAAGGAGGAAAGACAAUUGGGUUCAGGUGACCAUCCAGUCUCCCCUUGAAGAUUU